ACAGGUGGUUGCAGUGUUGUCGUCAGCUCGUGUCGUGAGAUGUUGGGUUAAGUCCCGUAACGAGCGAAACCCUUGUUCCUAGUUGCCAGCGCGUAAUGGCGGGGACUCUAGGAAGACUGCCGGUGCCAAACCGGAGGAAGGUGGGGAUGACGUCAAGUCAUCAUGGCCCUUACGCCCCGGGCUGCACACGUACUACAAUGGCCGGUACAAAGGGAAGCGAGACCGCGAGGUGGAGCCAAUCCCAAAAAGCCGGUCCCAGUUCGGAUCGGAGGCUGCAAUUCGCCUCCGUGAAGCCGGAAUCGCUAGUAAUCGCGGAUCAGCCACGCCGCGGUGAAUAUGUUCCCGAGCCUU
This 351-nucleotide ribosomal RNA is filed under the name uncultured Planctomycetota bacterium. RNAcentral describes it as "bacterial SSU rRNA". It matches the Rfam family "Bacterial small subunit ribosomal RNA", at positions 1034 to 1382 of the family's 1533-position model. The record is from RNAcentral. Lineage: Bacteria; Pseudomonadati; Planctomycetota.